RNAcentral lists this ribosomal RNA (245 nucleotides) under uncultured bacterium. Its description in RNAcentral is "partial 16S ribosomal RNA". It matches the Rfam family "Bacterial small subunit ribosomal RNA", at positions 524 to 768 of the family's 1533-position model. The record is from RNAcentral.
GACAGAGGUGGCGAGCGUUGUUCGGAAUCACUGGGCUUAAAGGGCGCGUAGGUGGUAGUGUAAGUCUGAGGUGGAAUCCUGCGGCUUAACCGCAGAACUGCCUUGGAAACUGCAUUACUUGAGUCAGUGAGGGGAGGGUAGAAUUCCCGGUGUAGCGGUGAAAUGCGUAGAUAUCGGGAGGAAGGCCUGUGGCGAAGGCGGCCCUCUGGCGCUGGACUGACACUGAGGCGCGAAAGCGUGGGGAG